AGUCUUAGUGCUCUGUUUUUUUUAUUUUGUGUGUGUUUCACGCGUUCUGUGCUGCUAAGAACGUAUUGAAGUCAUCUCUAGCUUUCAACAGUCUUGGGGUAAUACAUGUUCGCGGCGAAGCUGGGCACGAAUCCGAGGUUGUGGUCGAGAAUCUGACACGGCGUUGCGGGGAUGUCUCAGCCAAAUCCCUUAAUUGUCUUCCAGACAG
Molecule: long non-coding RNA, 208 nt
Organism: Arabidopsis thaliana (thale cress)
Lineage: Eukaryota; Viridiplantae; Streptophyta; Magnoliopsida; Brassicales; Brassicaceae
Product: other RNA
Exons: 1
Source: RefSeq